This 69-nucleotide transfer RNA is filed under the name Urocitellus parryii (Arctic ground squirrel). RNAcentral describes it as "Spermophilus parryii (Arctic ground squirrel) tRNA". It matches the Rfam family "tRNA". From Rfam's summary of the family: Transfer RNA (tRNA) molecules are approximately 80 nucleotides in length. Their secondary structure includes four short double-helical elements and three loops (D, anti-codon, and T loops). The record is from Rfam by way of RNAcentral. Lineage: Eukaryota; Metazoa; Chordata; Mammalia; Rodentia; Sciuridae. RNAcentral also lists the same sequence under 3 other names.
GGGGCUGUAGCUCAGUGGUAGAGCACUUGCCUAGCAUGUGUGAGGCACUGGAUUCGAUCCUCAGCACCA